GGGUAUGUAACCGAUCUAACCGGGAGCGCGUUUGAAUGGCAUUCAAAAGGUCGUCGGUUCGAUCCCGAUUGUCUCCACCA
This 80-nucleotide transfer RNA is filed under the name Clostridium sp. CAG:242. Its description in RNAcentral is "transfer RNA-Pseudo(GGC)". The record is from RNAcentral. Lineage: Bacteria; Bacillati; Bacillota; Clostridia; Eubacteriales; Clostridiaceae.